GGGGGUCCUGGGCACCGGGCGAGAUUAUGCCGACAAGCCCCUGGAGAAGCCUCUAAAGCUAGUCCUGAAGGUCGGAGGAAGUGAAGUGACUGAACUCUCAGGAUCCGGCCACGACUCCAGUUACUAUGAUGACAGGUCAGACCAUGAGCGAGAGAGGCACAAAGAAAAGAAAAAGAAGAAGAAGAAGAAGUCCGAGAAGGAGAAGCAUCUGGACGAUGAGGAAAGAAGGAAGCGAAAGGAAGAGAAGAAGCGGAAGCGAGAGAGGGAGCACUGUGACACGGAGGGAGAGGCUGACGACUUUGAUCCUGGGAAGAAGGUGGAGGUGGAGCCGCCCCCAGAUCGGCCAGUCCGAGCGUGCCGGACACAGCCAGUUCUCGGUGGAACUUAAAAUGCUGUGAGACAC
Molecule: long non-coding RNA, 403 nt
Filed under: Pan troglodytes (chimpanzee)
Lineage: Eukaryota; Metazoa; Chordata; Mammalia; Primates; Hominidae
Description: long non-coding RNA NONPTRT013912
Source: RNAcentral